GAUGAACGCUGGCGGCGUGCCUAAUACAUGCAAGUCGAGCGAACGGACGAGAAGCUUGCUUUUCUGAUGUUAGCGGCGGACGGGUGAGUAACACGUGGAUAACCUACCUAUAAGACUGGGAUAACUUCGGGAAACCGGAGCUAAUACCGGAUAAUAUUUUGAACCGCAUGGUUCAAAAGUGAAAGACGGUCUUGCUGUCACUUAUAGAUGGAUCCGCGCUGCAUUAGCUAGUUGGUAAGGUAACGGCUUACCAAGGCAACGAUGCAUAGCCGACCUGAGAGGGUGAUCGGCCACACUGGAACUGAGCCACGGUCCAGACUCCUACGGGAGGCAGCAGUAGGGAAUCUUCCGCAAUGGGCGAAAGCCUGACGGAGCAACGCCGCGUGAGUGAUGAAGGUCUUCGGAUCGUAAAACUCUGUUAUUAGGGAAGAACAUAUGUGUAAGUAACUGUGCACAUCUUGACGGUACCUAAUCAGAAAGCCGCGGCUAACUACGUG
This 497-nucleotide ribosomal RNA is filed under the name uncultured bacterium. RNAcentral describes it as "partial 16S ribosomal RNA". It matches the Rfam family "Bacterial small subunit ribosomal RNA", at positions 28 to 507 of the family's 1533-position model. The record is from RNAcentral.